Molecule: RNA transcript, 3972 nt
Organism: Helianthus annuus (common sunflower)
Lineage: Eukaryota; Viridiplantae; Streptophyta; Magnoliopsida; Asterales; Asteraceae
Exons: 9
Source: RefSeq, a predicted model, not a curated record
UAAAAAAAGAAAAUCUUUAAAAACAAACCAAUAUGAUUGCAAAGUAAGAAAAAAACAAGUAGGUUUCGUAAGAUGUCAGGCGAGGUGCCGGCGGAAUGCGAUCGGAUUUACCAGUCAUUGUUGCAGUGCCACCGGCGAGUCCCUGCCGGUCCGUCUCGUGAAGCCGCGUGCCGCCACCUGAACCGUUCUCUGGCCGAAUGCAUGAUCGCCUUCAUUUGCCCUGAGGAAUCAGCGGCCGUUAAGACCCUUUGUGCCAAUCAAGCAACCGCCGUUAAGCGGUCUCAGUGCCAACAAGCCCAGAUCUCUCUCGCCACCUGCAUCUCUCUCCAUCAAGAUCCAUCUUAAAACCCUAAUCCCCUAUUUGUAGAACAGGAUCCAUCUGCAUGACUUGUUUCGACGGUUUGAUCUUCUUUAUGGGCUCCUCAAAAUCAUCACCAUCUUCAUCGGUUAAAGGGGUGCUGCUGAUGAUGAUGAUGAUGAUUUUGAACCCCCCAUUCAGCCGAUGAUAACAAACAAAGCUCGAAAGUUAAAGUUAAAUAAAAGGCCAAAGAAAGUAAACGUUGAAGAUGAUGAUGAUUUUGAAGCACCAAUUCAAGAUUUGAAAAAAGGCCAAAAACACAAAAAAGAGGGAAAAUACUAUAACUGAUGAAGAAGGUGAUGAUUUUGAUGAGCCCAUAAAGAAGAUCAAACCGUCGAAACAAGAUAUGCAGAUGGAUCCUACAAAGAGUAAAAAGACGAUUAAAGUAGCGGAACCAAUUAGGACGGAACCAAGACCGUACUAUGCAUAUCAUCAUGAGACAUUAAGUCUUAGGUGUAGUCCUUCUGUUUUCUUGGAUACAAUAAGAUAGUUUACAGAAGCAAAGAUAGCGGAUGUUAAAAGCAUGGGAUUUGGUCCUGUUCUUGAUAUAAAGGUUAGUUAUAUAAGCACACAUCUAGGCUUUUGGCUCCUACGAAACUAUGAUGAGCAAUAAAACACACUAAACAUCGAAAAUCAUAAGAUAUGAAUCACAAGAGAUUCACUAUAUGAUUUGUUUGGUAUUCCAAAAUGACCAAAUCCGGUACUUGAAAAAAAUACUGCUACUGAUGGGGUCGAAACAACUAUUGAUGAGUUCAAAAACCAGUGGACCGACAUCAAUAGAAUUACUCAUUCAUUGGUUGCAAAAGCUAUGAGAAAACAAACAAAUGGCGGCAGGUUAUUCACGUUAAAUUUUUUAGCCUACUAGAACACGUUAUUUGUAGAGAUUACAAAGUCAACAACAGUUAAACAAAGUUUUCUGCUUGCCAUUGACAAAGAGGAAGACAUUUCGAAGCUGGAUUGGUGCUCGUUUGUUUUAGAAUCACUUAAACGAACUAGGCAAGGUUGGAAAAAAAAUGGACUCACAAUACAACGGGCCGCAUUUCUGAUGCUUCUGUACACCCAUGAAUACAACAAAAGGCACCAAAUUUUCAAUGAAGUUGUGGAACUGCCUAUCAUAAAGUAUGUAACAUCUCGUAUGAUUGACGACAUGGAAGAGUACAUAUACAACAAUGGGCCGCUGUCAGAUGUUGAAGAUUAUGAUGAAUUUGACAAGGAUGAAGAAACGCAUGGCAAUGAAAACCAUCAGCAUGUGGAUGAUGAAAACCUAAAUCGGCAGGAUUAAUAGCAUGCGAUAGCCUCGGACAACAUCAUUACCGAUGAUCAUUAAAACGAACAGGCUCCGACAACAGACUUCGAUGUUAUUGACAGACCUAUUCAAUGACAACAUCCCAUUACACGAGGCUGCUGCAGUACAAGAAAACAUCAUCGCAUUAGAAAUGACAGAUCAGCGUACGACAGAUGAAUUCACCAUACCACCUGUGGAUACCACAAAGGUCUACAGAAGAAGAAACGAGGCUGAGAAAGAUUUAAUGGACAAAUGUUACAUACUAUCGACUACUGAUUGGUUUGAGAACUGGACUCCUAGUGAUGAUAUUUCAGAGUUGAACCUAGCUAUGGGCAUCGGGUCACAAACGCAAAAACUAAUUGACUACUGCAGCACUCCGCUUCAACUAACCGGGGUAAGCUAUGAUGAUGGUACACGGGAAACCUCCAACAAAAAUAAGAAGGUGUUGUUGAAAAACAUGGACAAUAACAUAAAUAAAUACAUUGCUCUCGUUACGGAAAUGAACAAUAUCGUUACCGACGCAAAGGAAAAGUGUUACUGGAAUCCAAAUAUAAUGAGAAUGUGUAAAAGAUAGGAUGAUGCAGUUAAGAAUACCGUCUCAACGACUGAUCAAGUAACCUCUGGAGGUGAUGAAGCUCUUGUAAACAAAGUUGGAGAGGGUGGUGAUAAAAUUCAAGAGUUAAGAGGGGAUAAAGAUGCAACCGUACAAAAAGAAAACACAGGAAAAACAAAAGCUAGACAAGAAUUUGUGUAAUUUGUUAAGAUUAACGGCAAUUUAAGUUAAAUGAUGAGAAAACGUUUGUGAUUUUAUAGGUUGUGAUGAUGUUGAUAAUGUGAUAGAUGACAAUGGGGGUAUUUCAGACUCAUGCCUGGCUGCAUUACAAACCAUAGAACCAGGUGUAUACAACCAGACGAGAGAAGUGAUACAAGCAGCAACAGAUGUGGUACACGAAAUGGAACAAGAUGUAAAUUUAGCAGAGUCCAGUCAGCAAAAAUCACAAAGACUUAAUACAGUAACUGAGUCGAUGUUGAAUGAACUAGAAAAGAUAAACCCUGACGUCUAUGGUAAAGAAAUGCCUCCCACCACAUCCGCUGAAGAAACAGAUGUAGUGACGGAUGCAGAAAUGCAGUCGGUGGAGAUGCUUUUAAGAUUGGCUCCCAUCCUACAAACGUCAACUGACAGUAAACAAAAAACUCAUGUGACUACUAACGAAAAAAUGGAUGAAAAGAGAUUGUAUGAACUAGUGAGAACGCAUAUAAAAAAGUGGAGGGAUAAGAACGAAAAACGAAUGGCAGAAUUAGGUGACGUAUACCGAUCCCUUACUGCAAUAGGAUAACUAGCUUAUAUGAGCCACUCCUGGAACGUGACCAAACGAUCAUCUGUUACCUCUUAGCUCCGAUCGGAAAUAUUAGCUCAGUGAUGUACAAGCCUAAAAGCGGAGUGGAAACAUUAAAAAUCAUUUUUGAAAGCUUUCACCCAUCGCAAUUCGUAGCUUCAAAUGGAAUGGACGCUUUUGUAGAUGUGUUGAACUUUGAAGAGAAAAAAAGGGACAAAAAAUCAUCACCAUACAGGCUGUUCUUGCAAAGUACAAUGAUUCCUGACGUAAUGUAUGGGCCUAACUACAAUGACAAUGAACGAUUGAAAGUAUUUGCAUCAAACCUAGAAGAUAUACUAGGUAAAUAUGAGGUCAAGAACUUAACACAGUGGAUCUUAUCUUCAUUCCAGUACUACUAUCUGAUCAUUUCUGGUGCAUAUGCUUUCACUUGAAAAAUGGCGAAAUUGAGUUAAUUGAUAACUCUAGGAUUAAACAAUCGUUUAGCAAACGCUACCGUGGGCGCCCCGAAAUGCUGCGAAAAGUUCUAGUUCUAUACCUAAAAGACAAGAUACGACAAAAAGAAUGGAUAAAAAACUUGUAAAACGACAAGCAUAAUAUGAAAAGAAAUGGAUUUGAGAACUCUUCAAAACGGAGUUCAUUGUGGUGUCUUCACUAUGAGACAUAUGGAGACGUGCAAAGGCAAAUCACCAUGGAAUCUGGGUUUUGUGAACGAAGAUAAAAAGACCAUUCAAGAUUCACAGCUUCGAUUCUUGAGAUACCAGUAUCUUAGUAAGAUUGUAUUGUCCGACUACAAUCUUGUAAGGAAACAAGUCUUUGACAAAGCUAAGGAAUUUGCGAAGACCGCAAGCACCGUAGAUGUGUUGAACGAUCUAGAUAACAAAAUCAGGGAUCGAUUGGAUGAGUUCUUUAAUUGUGACAAAGUGUAAACAAAUGCUAUGUCGUAGAAUUACUUAGUUACAAUCAUAUUUGAAUUAUUCUUUUUUAUUUUUUUU